UGUGUAUGUGUAUGUGUAUGUGUAUGUGUAUGUGUAUGUGUACGUGUAUAUACACAUAUAUACACAUACACACA
Molecule: non-coding RNA, 74 nt
Organism: Paramuricea clavata
Lineage: Eukaryota; Metazoa; Cnidaria; Anthozoa; Malacalcyonacea; Plexauridae
Source: the annotation of a GenBank genome assembly